Molecule: ribosomal RNA, 732 nt
Filed under: uncultured bacterium
Lineage: Bacteria
Also listed under: 1 other name
Description: bacterial SSU rRNA
Rfam family: Bacterial small subunit ribosomal RNA
Source: RNAcentral
UUUUUAUGGCUCAGGAUGAACGCUAGCUACAGGCUUAACCCUUGCAAGUCGAGGGGCAGCGGUAUCGGAAGCUUGCUUUCGGUAGCCGGCGACCGGCGCACGGGUGAGUAACGCGUAUCGAACCUGCCUCAUACUCGGGAAUAGCCUUGCGAAAGUAAGAUUAAUGCCCGGUGUUUUCAGAGUCCCGCAUGAGGCUUUGAACAAAGAUUUAUCGGUAUGAGAUGGCGAUGCGUCCCAUUAGCUUGUUGGCGGGGUAACGGCCCACUAAGGCAUCGAUGGGUAGGGGUUCUGAGAGGAAGGUCCCCCACAUUGGAACUGAGACACGGUCCAAACUCCUACGGGAGGCAGCAGUGAGGAAUAUUGGUCAAUGGGCGGAAGCCUGAACCAGCCAAGUAGCGUGCAGGAAGACGGCCCUCCGGGUUGUAAACUGCUUUUAGUUGGAAAUAAAACGGGGCUCGUGAGCCCCCUUGCAUGUACCAUCAGAAAAAGGACCGGCUAAUUCCGUGCCAGCAGCCGCGGUAAUACGGAAGGUCCGGGCGUUAUCCGGAUUUAUUGGGUUUAAGGGGAGCGCAGGCGGACCUUUAAGUCAGCUGUGAAAUACGGCGGCUCAACCGUCGAACUGCAGUUGAUACUGGAGGUCUUGAGUGCACACAGGGAUGCUGGAAUUCAUGGUGUAGCGGUGAAAUGCUCAGAUAUCAUGAAGAACUCCGAUCGCGAAGGCAGGCAUCCGGG